UUGAUGGAUCUAUCUAUUUUAACCGUUUAAUUAUUGGUUAGUUUAAACAUAAUGUAAUGAUAAUUAUGUACUUUGUUUACGUUCUCAAACCUUCGAGGAUUAUGAGCUCACUUAAGACAUUAGACCGUUGAAGAGAAUUAGUGAAUGACUUUUGCUUAAGUGUCUUAAAAUUAAGUAAUGAGUUCACACUAAAUUCAUAGUUUGAAGUCACCCAAGGAAGGAAAUCUAAUAUGACCUAGUCGUGAAUACUUUCUAUGUUAAGUAAAUCAGUUGUGAAUUCGAUGAGAAAACUCACACCAAUAACAAAUUUGAUGUGUGGAGCAAGGAAUAAUCAAGCAACCAAAAUAAAGUGUAUGAAACAAUUAUAAUCACAAGCCAAAAGUAGAAAACAACGAGAGAGAAAAGAAGAGAAGAGAAGAGAGAACACAAAAGAAUUUAUUGACCCAGUUCAGUCCAAAUUGAACUAGUAUGGGGGAGAUAGCAGCCCUCCGUUUCGCUUUAAGAUGAGUAACGUUACAAAAAGAGAUGUCAAUGAGUUACAAGAAAAAGUCUCUUGUCUAAUUCUACCAAAACUCCAAUCUCUUCCCGUAGCCAAGAGACACAAUCCUAAUAGUGUUUCCCAAGGUGAAUCAACCCUCAAACCUUAGUGUUUGUUCCCAAGAGACAAACUCUAUACAAACUCUAGUUUUGUUGUUGUCAUUCUAAACCCUUAUUUCAGCCCCCUCUAUCUCAAAGUUUACUCUGAUACAAGGUCUAUAUUUAUAGUAAAAGUAUCGCUUAAAUUUUGAAACAAAUCUGUACACAAAAAUACAUUUCUGUUAUUCGCUGCCAGCGCAUCAUCGUGCCACGAAAAAUCCAGUGACUUGCCUCAAAACUGAAACCUCCAAUUGUGCCACGUUGCCCAGCCAUUAUGCCACGAUUUCUGCAGAACCUGAUUUUAAAUUAACUCUCACAAAAUCAAGAUUGAAAAUGUGAUCACAAAGCUAAUUUAAUAAAGAUUGAAAAACCAUACAUAUGAAUACUUGUUCAGAAAAAACAGAAUUGAAGAAAAAUGAUGAUAUCAAGGAGAAGGAGCAAAAGGUUUCUUUGGUUUCUGUAAGAGUUUUGAGAGAGACAUGAAUGCUUUUUUUACACAAAAUUAGUCAUUGUCAAGAUCAAGUUGAUUUUACCCAAAACUUCCAACAAUUAUAUCAGCAAUCCACAAGUACCACAUGUUUAACUAUAUAUAAGAUUUUCUUUAAAAAGAAACUAUAUAUAAGAUUUGGAUCAUAAAUGGAGGUAGCAAAUAGUGUAUAAAACUGCUGAUCCGUUUCAUGUUAUUUAAGUUCCACAUCGGAUAGUUUAGAGGGAAUGGCAUGGAGCAUGAAGUAUAAAAACAAGUGUCUGAUAGAUUGCAAAUCACUCACCUGGAUGGGGUCAAUAGGUGAUCAAGAAGGCUCAUAGCCUAAGACAAUGACCUCCAUUGCACUUUGGAGGGGUGCUGGCCUAAGGUCUACUCAAGUGGUGGAGCCUACAUCAUAAUUUGUUGCACGCAAGUCCCUUCCAAUUUAGUUAAAUUAUUUUUUUGGGUACACAUUUUAUUUUUAAAUUUAAUUACUAAUUAUGUAAUUAGUACUUUUAUAAUUAAAAAGAGAGAAGCAUAAAUAUAUUAACUAAUGGUAAUUUUGUAUAAAUUUUAUCACAGAUUAAAACCAAAGAAAAAGAACAAAAAAAAAAGAAAAAGGAAAGAGAACCCAUAUUUGGUAGGGAACAUAUUCAUUGGAAACUACUUUUCCAGUCUCUACUUUGAGUUUCCUAUUUGAAAAGAGUUGUAAAUAAUAUAAAAAAUAUCAUUUAAUUUUUGCAACCGGAUUAUCAUACGUGAAUGUGUUUCUAUUUCUACAUCGCAUAAUAUUGCAAGAGGGAUUGGCAAGAGACGUAAUAUUACAAUGUACUAUGACAAUCAUUAUGCAAUAUGCUUAUAGAAUUACAAAGGUGUCUAAAAGAAAUUUGAAACAAAAUAUAAUUGGAAAAAGGCGCAACGCACACAAUAUAUUACAUGAAUAAUUUUUCAUUUUUUUUAUGUGUCAUUAUUAAAAAGAGAGAAGCAUAAAUAUACUAACUAAUGGUAAUUUUGUAUAAAUCUUACCACAGAUUAAAACCAAAGAAAAGGAAAGAGAACCCAGAUUUGCUUUCAUGACAAAGAGUGAAGUUGAUCACCUAGAUGAUGGUUAUAGGUGGCGUAAAUAUGGCCAAAAAGCUGUGAAAAACAGUCCUAUACAUAUACAUAUAGAUACAUAAUCUUAAACUUUCUUCCAUUUCAUUUCUCAAUUUUCAUUCUCUUGUGUCCUACAAUAAACAGUGUAGUAGUUCACUAAUUAAUUUAAUUAAUUUAAUUUGGGACAUUAAUUAGUUAAUUAAUAUAAUUUUUGACUUGCGAGACAUGUAAAUGUAACCGCAUUGAAACAAAAACAGGAGCUACUAUAGUUGUACAACGGCAAGUUGCGGCGUGAAAAACCGCAUGGAGCGUUCUUCCGAUGAUUCUUCUGUUGUCGUCACUACUUACGAGGGUCAACAAACACAUCCUUCUCCUACCACAUCACGUCCUAACCUCCGCUUCGUUCACAUUUUUAAGUGGUAUCAUGAACUAUCUUGACCACAUCAAUAAAUUGCUCAUUUUCAUUGGUUGGUGGGUAAAUUAUCCACCAUUCUUCAAAGGUAAUCUAGAAAAAACCUUAACAGAAAGGUCAUGUCGGCGCUCUUUAGCAUUUUCUUAAUAAAAUUGUAUAGUAGUUUAGUAUUUGGUUCUUUGAAACUUGGCAAAAGGGACUAGGGAGAGACUUAAUAUUACAUUGUAUUGUAAUAGGCUUAUAGAAUUAUAAAGGUCUCUAGAAAAAAUUUAAAACAGAAUGUAAAUUGGAAGAAAAAAAGUGUGGAUGGUUUAUAAAAAAUCCGAUUUGAUUUGAUAUUAAUGUUGUAUGUAUGCAGAUGUUGAUGUCUACUGCAGAAGAUCAAAGAUCCAAUGCAUUCCACCUUUGAAGUUUUCACUUAAAGUUGUUCAAGAUAUGAUAAACAAAGUCUUAACCCUAUUAACUCAAAUGCUACCGAUUCUAAGAUUAAAGUUUAAGGAAAAGAGUUACGAGUGGUGAACUAUCAGCAAAUUUUCCUAGUCUUGCAUUGCUAAUAAGAGAAAUUAGACGAGUUUAAGGUUAUAUAAAAAAACAGGUUAACCAAUAUUUAAAACCAUCUUUGCAUUGCACUUGGGGCAAUGACGCAUCUAGUGAGGUUCUAACCGAGGCGUGUCUAUUGCUGGUUGAAAACUAUUUCCUGAUCCCCUCUUAGACUUGGGUCCAACUCAAGCCUUUGAGAAUUCCUGGAAGGAUUCCCUUUGGGGUAAAGUCCUACAAUUUUUUUUCAAAGUAAAAGUCAUUCAACUUUUACAGUUUGCUCAUGCUCUGCCGAUUUGCUAAUGUUAAUAAUGAUCUUUUGGCUACCUAUGCAAAAUAUUUUGGUAGAUUUGCUAUCUUUUUUAGGAUUUUCAUGUGCGAAAAGUAUGAAGGAAUAACAAUUGUCUACUUACGUUAAUCUUAGUUUCUGCAUGUUAUCAUAGUUUCUGCUUGUUAUAUGUUUUUAGGUUCUUUGUCUUAGUUUUGCAGUUUAUCUUAGUUUCUUUUUUCAUAUUCAUUUAUUAUGGAACACAUACAAGUUUGAGUUUAGGAAAUUUGACGCCGUUAGUAAUUGAUUUAGCCAUGUGAAUUGGUGAUUUAAGUGGCUGAGGGCUGAGGGCUGAGGGUAGAGCAAAGCUAUGAGAAAAUACAAUUCAGAAUUUGAUGAGUUAAGGCUUCAUUCUCCAACAAUAGAAAGUGAAUUGAUGAGAUCUUUAAUAAGUUCAACAUUUCUGCAGAGAUUAUUAGGAAUUUUAGAUUCAUGAUCUGUGUACCAGAGAAUGUAUCAUCUUGUUUUUUAUUUUUGAGUCAAAACUCAAAAGGCAAUUCCACUCAGAAUCAACCUUAAUUGCAUCAUGAUAUAUAACAUAGGGUGAUUGCUCAUCUUGUUGAUAGUUACUUGAAAGGGAAAAGAAGCAGUAAAAACAUAGGGUGAUAUGUGAAAAUUCCAAGGCAAUGAAUACAAUAAUAUUUACAAAUAACAUUGAUCAAUAGUCAAGAAACAAAUGAUGCCAGACAACCAAAACACAAGACACAGACCAAUAUUACUGGGUCAAACAUGUGCUUUUAUCUCAAAAUUACAACAUUGAUAUGAAAGAUGCAUAAUAUAUUAAAAUGUGAUCUCAUAGUUAAUUUAAUGAAGAUUGAAAAACCAUACAUAUGAAGACAUGUUCUAAAGAAACAUAUUAGAAGAAGAAUGAGGAUAUCAAGGAGCAGAAGGUUUCUUUGGUUUUCGUAAGAGCUUUUGAGAGAGACAUGAAGGCUUUUCUACACAUAACUAGUCAUUGUUAAGGUCAAGUUCAUUUUACCCAAAACUUCCAACAAUGAUAUCCACAUUCCACAAGUGCCACAUGCUUAGCUUGGAUCAUAAAUGGAGGUAGCAAAUAGUGUGUAAAACCACUGAUCCCUUCCAUGUUAUUUAAGUCCCACAUCGGAUAGUUUAGAAUGAAUGGCACGAAGCAUGAGGUAUAAAAUCAAGUUUGUGAUACGUUGCAAAUCACUUACCUGGAUGGGGUCAAUGGGUGAUCAAGAAGGCCCAUGGCCUAGGCAAGUGACCUCCAUUGCACUUUGGAGGGGUGCUAGCCUAAGGUCUACCCCAAGUGGUGGAGCCUACAUCAUAAUUUGUUGCCGUGGGGGUUUGCGUUCGCGCAGCCCCUUCCAAUUUAGUUAUGAAAAUAUAAACUUGCCAAGACCUGAUAACCGGAUCAUAAUCUGCUAAUUGAAGAUAAUGCAAAGUAAACAUCUCUGCAGUAUUUAUUAGAAUUAUUCUGUAUUGCAGGCUGUUAGAUAAGUGCAGGAGGAUUUGUUAGGGAACAUAUUCAUUAGAAACUACUUUUCCCAUCUCUACUUUGAGUUUCCUAUUUGAAAAGAGUUGUAAAUCAUAUAAAAAAUAUCAUUUAAUUUUUGCAGGCGGAUUAUCAUACACGAAUUGUUUCUAUUUCUAUAUCGCAUAAUGUUGCAAGAGGGAUUGUAUUACAAUGUACUAUGACAAUCAUUAUGCAAUAGUCUUGUAGAAUUAUAAAGGUAUCUAGAAGUUUAAAAUAGAAUGUAAUAGGAAAAAAGUGUGAAUGGUUUAUAUAAAAUGUAAUUUGAUUCGAUAUUAGUGUUGAAUGUAUACAGAUUUUGAAGUCUAUUGCAGAAGAUCAAAGAUUUAAUACAUUCCACCUUUAAAGUUUUCACUUGGACUUGUUUAAGACAUGAUAAACAAAGUCUUAAUCUUAUCAACUAAGAUGCUACCAAUUCUAAGUUUAAAGUUUAAUGCAAAGAGUGACAAGUGGUGACUUAGCCGCAAAUUUUCCUCGUCUUACAUGUAAUUCAUAAACGCAAGUCAUGUGUGCCAUGCACAUAUCAAGAAACUUAGCUCGCUCCUCAGAAUGAACAACAAUGACAUCGUCACCAGCCAUUGGCAGCCCUCGAAUCCCUUCAAUCUCAACAGGCAUUGCGGGAGUUGCUCGUUGAGUUAACCUCCCUGCUGCAUCUUUAGUAGACCUUAUUUUUCCCCACUGCGAUCCUUCAACCGCAUGUUGUCCACAAACUACCUUCACUAUUGUAGUCACCAAUGGACCCCGUCCUUUGUCAAGUCUUGCUUCAACCACAUAUGCUUGAGCAGGACCAUCAAAUUGUGCUUUAAGAUCCAUCAUAUAAGCCUGAAGGAGUAAAGCUACCUCUAGGUUAUCCGGUCCAGUCUUUUUAAUCGCGGAAACUUCAACGACCUGAAGUUUAAUGAAGACUUAACUAAACUCAUGGAAAAGUGCUCCCUCCCCAUCUCACCAGUAGAAAAAGUCCAAUGGUGUCUGACAGUAGAGUAUUGGAUGGGUGCAUUCAAUUAUAAACACGAGAAAGAAAUAGAAAAAUAAAAUGAAUACCGCUCAAACAUCAAAUUUUUAGAAGUUAAAAAUUUGGAACUCUAUAUGUUGUUUUUAACUUGAAGUAGUGCUCCUUGACACUCACUUGCGGCAGUAGAAAUUUUUAUUUGAUUGACCCUUUAUACAAAUUGGGAGCUACAUACAAUGGCGUUUCCAGAAUUUUCAUUCAGGGGGUUCGAAUUAUUUUUGUUUCGAUCCAUCAUCAAGUAAGCCACAAUAUGUUUCUAAGUACUGUCCUUGUUGGAUCGUUGAAUGAACCCUUACGGUUGUCUUUUAUAAAAGACACUCAUUGGAUUGAGGAGUGUGACUGUAGUAUAUAAACUACUUUUAAUGAUUUCCAAAAAAUAUGAGAUUUUAAGGUGUACCAAUACAUAUACUUUUUAUACUUACCAGAAUUUAAAUACUUGUAUAUUUUCACUUCCCUUUUGCAUGUAAACCCACGCAAGAUUCCUUCUACGGAUUUUAAUACUCUUACAAACGUGUAUAUUUUUGUUUUUUCAAAUCACAUUUCAUUGUUCAAUGGUUUUUUAAUGAGUAAGCAUUAGCUAAGUAUUCAUUGAAUUUGUUUUCUUUUACAAUAAUUUUACAAAUCAAUUUGAUCCUUCUAGAAGGCAAAACAACUUUUUGGUGUAGCCUAAUUUCUUUCCAAUUUUACCCUUAUUUUUUAAUGUAAAUUUCCCAUUUUACCCUUUAAACGUAAACAAUAGUUAGUGGAACUUCUCUCAUUUUAUAUUUUGUUGUAUGCAUUUUUGUGUGGAAGAGUUUAUCAUUGGUCACAUAAUGAAGGAGAGAAGCCGCCUGCAUUUGGGUACACUUUUGUCUUCUCUAUUCUAAUAUAGUGUUUAUAAAUGACAUACGUCAGCGCAGUAGAAAAAACGGACAGACGAGCACAUGAGUACCCGUUUGGACGCUAGUUUUAUUUAAUGAUAAUUAUUCUUUUCCCAUUUUUGUUUUAUAAAUAAAUGUUUCGUUACAAUGACGCAUUGCUUAUAUUGUUGAGAUAACGACCAAUUCUAACCCAAAUACAAAAACACUAAACUAACCCUUUAUGUGGGUCACAUUCACACAUAAAAAGGUAAACAUUAAAAAUUUAGUGUUCCCUUCUUUGAAAUUCAACAAAAUUUUCACUUCCCUUUUGCAUGUAAAUCCACACAAGAUUCAUUCUACGGAUUUUAAUACUCUUACAUACGUGUAUAUUUUUGUUUUUUGAAAUCUCUUUUCAUUGUUCAACGGUUUUUUGCUCAGUAAACAUUAGCUAAGUAUUCAUUGAAUUUGUUUUCUUUCUCAAUAAUUUUACAAAUCAGUCCGAUCCUUCUAGAAGGCAAAACAACUUUUUGGUGUAACCUACUUUCUUUCCAAUUUGACCCUUAUUUUUUAAUGUAAAUUUCUCAGUUUACCCUUUAAACCUAAACAACAAUUACCGGAACUUCUCUCAUUAUAUAUUUUGUUGUAUGCAUUUUUGUGUGUAAGAGUUUAUCCUUGGUCACAUAAUGAAGGAGGGAAGUCGCAUGCAUUUGGGUACACUUUUGUCUUCUCUAUUCUAAUAUAAUGUUUAUAAAUGACACACAUCAGCGCAGUAGAAAAAACGGACAGACGAGCACAGGAGUGUCUGUUUGGACGCUAGUUUUAUUUAACGAUAAUUAUUCUUUUUCCAUUUUUGUUUUAUAAAUAAAUGUUUCGUUACAAUGACGUGUUGCUUAUAUCGUAGAGAUAACGACCAAUCAACUUAUAAAGAGAAAGAGAAAAUGUAUAGAUAAUAAUUAAAAUUAAACAAUCCUUUAAAAAAAAUUAAAUUAAAUAUCUUAUUAUGAUAUAUCUUCUUACAUUAAAUAUCUAAUUAUGAUAUCCUUUUAAAAAAAUUAUUACCAUACCAAUUUAUCAUUAUUUUAAGUAACAAGAUCUGAAAAUUCUAACAAAUAACCAUAUAUGAAUUUUUAAUUAAAAUAGAAAUAAUUUAUGAAUUAACAUACAAUUUAAAUAUCAAAUUAAAAUUAUAAAAUGUGUAUUCUAAAGGAGAUAUGAAAAUCAGGGAAGAAAAAAACUAAUGUAAACAAUCAUAAUUGUUAUAUCAUUAUAAAUGUUUGAGGUUUUUUAUAAUUACUUCUAAAGUCACACAUACAGUUGAUUCUAAUUUGCUAAAAGUGUAAAAUUAUUUGCUAUCUUAUUUCGCGCUCGUAUGCGGGUUUGAUGAGAAGUGUAUGUGGUGUGCAUAUUUGCUUCAAUUACUUUUAGACCACUUUUGUUAUAUUUGGACUGUAUAUAUGUCUGUUUGGGCUGAUUUUGUGGUUUGAGUGGAUUAGGUUUAUCAAACCUGCUAAUUUUUGUGGAAUUUUUCAAAGAUUUAUCAAAUCAUAAAAUAAUGAGAAAUGCAUGUAUAGUUAUUUUAUAAAAUUGUAAGAUAAUCUUUAUAUGAAAACAAUAGUUAAUUUUACGAUUUAUCAAUUGCAUGGCCUGGUGAUGGACGAUUUGGCAAGUGCACCAAAUCAUAACAAAUAAUAAAGUAAUAAGUUAUCGUCUCUACAUGAAUUGUCGUUCAACUUAGCAAUUAACAAAAUUUAUUUAUGUAAAAAACUUCAUCUCCUUUCAAGCUAAACAUAAAGCACCCUCAUGCAUCAUAAAGAGAUUCCUCUUCUCUUUCUAAAAGUUGGUUAUCUCAAGUCUCAACACGCUUCUUCUUGAAAUUUGUGUCCAAGAAGAACCGUUCUACAAAUUUAUCUUAAAGUUAAUCCAUAUUUUAAUGGUUCCACUUGAUAAAGCCAACCGCCAAUUUUUAGCUCUUCCAACUAGAGACAUUGGAAAAAGUUGCAGUAGUGUCUUCUGAUCCACUGUUAUACCAUCUGGGCAGCAAUACUGACAAGUCUCAUAGACUUGUUGGGGUCUUGUACUGGUCCUCCACCACAUACAUGUUGUGCUUCAAACUUGUACAGUAUAAAAUGUUUUCCUCCUUCCAAAAAAGAGUAUAAAAUGUUUUCCAAAAACCAAUAAUUUUAGCGCAAAGUGGUUAACGAGUUUCAUCAAGUACGAAUUAUUAAGGAGCAAUUUAUUGAUGAAAUAAUUUUUAUUCAGACUUUAUUUAUUUUUCGCCCAAACUCCAGAUUAUCAGAGUCUCUUUUUCCAAAAAUUGAAAUAUACACAAAAAUAUGUUUCCCAAAAACAUAAAUACAAAAAUAUCAUAUAACAUUCUUUAAAUAUAUAUAUAUAUAUAUAUAUAUAUAUAUAUAUAUAUAUAUAUAUAUAUAUAUUUUGAAGAGACUAAAAUGAAAUAUAUUAACACAACAAUGGUCUUCCUAGCACUAGGUGUGCUAAGGAAGAAACACCAAAGUCAACACAGUAUUACAUCAAUAAUUACAAGGCCACAGCCAGCACCAAAAAACUGCAUAGGAGACUACAGAGUUUAUCAUAUGUCUAAUAAAGUGAAAGAACUAUUGAAAGGAAUAGUAGCAUACUUCACCUUCAACCACUUAUAAGUUAGCAGCUUAAACCUGUCCACCACCUGAACGAUUGAACUAUAUAUAUAACAUUGUUCUUCCAUUAGUGGUUGUAGUCGCGUGUUUAUUAACCGACGAUCCUUUGCAGCUGAAAUGCGAUAUUCAUGUUAUACGUUUUAUCAUUCUCCGUUACUUCACGUUACUACAUAUUUUCAAUUAGUUUGAUAAUGACAUGCACUAAAAAAUUAUUAUUUUAUCCAAUUAUA
Molecule: long non-coding RNA, 9704 nt
Filed under: Medicago truncatula (barrel medic)
Lineage: Eukaryota; Viridiplantae; Streptophyta; Magnoliopsida; Fabales; Fabaceae
Description: long non-coding RNA (MTRU_LNC002972)
Rfam family: U1 spliceosomal RNA (bases 4642-4803)
Source: RNAcentral